This 29-nucleotide non-coding RNA is filed under the name Rattus norvegicus (Norway rat). The record is from RNAcentral. Lineage: Eukaryota; Metazoa; Chordata; Mammalia; Rodentia; Muridae.
UGUGUGACCGGCAAUAUUCAAAUCAGCGU